RNAcentral lists this ribosomal RNA (253 nucleotides) under uncultured bacterium. RNAcentral describes it as "partial 16S ribosomal RNA". It matches the Rfam family "Bacterial small subunit ribosomal RNA", at positions 524 to 776 of the family's 1533-position model. The record is from RNAcentral.
UACGAAGGGGGCUAGCGUUGCUCGGAGUCACUGGGCGUAAAGGGCGCGUAGGCGGACAGUUAAGUUGGGGGUGAAAGCCCGGGGCUCAACCUCGGAAUUGCCUUCAAUACUGGCUGUCUUGAGUGUGAGAGAGGUGUGUGGAACUCCGAGUGUAGAGGUGAAAUUCGUAGAUAUUCGGAAGAACACCAGUGGCGAAGGCGACACACUGGCUCACUACUGACGCUGAGGCGCGAAAGCGUGGGGAGCAAACAGG